This 278-nucleotide long non-coding RNA is filed under the name Sus scrofa (pig). Its description in RNAcentral is "lncRNA (ENSSSCG00050003440.1)". The record is from RNAcentral. Lineage: Eukaryota; Metazoa; Chordata; Mammalia; Artiodactyla; Suidae.
GGCCGCCGCGUCCCAGUGCCCGCACUCCGGGGCGCCCCCGCUCCCGCCACCGCCCAGCCGAGGCCGCCCCCCACAGGUUCCCGUCGCUGGACUGAGCCCAGAAAGCGCCGGGAGACGCGCAGACCCCGAGAAACAAUGAGCAGAGAAGAGAUGCUGUUUCAAAAUGGGAAAAGCCAGUGGGUAUCUAGGGGAAUUCCGGGCAGAGGUAAGAGGAGGCAGGUCCCCAUACUAGAACAUUCAGUAUGAUGCCGGGAAGUGGGAGGGCAUGCAAGAGGGAG